ACGAAGGGGGCUAGCGUUGUUCGGAAUCACUGGGCGUAAAGGGCGCGUAGGCGGCUCGCCAAGUGGGAGGUGAAAUCCCCGGGCUCAACCCGGGAACUGCCUUCCAAACUGGCGGGCUCGAGUCCGGAAGAGGGCGGCGGAAUUCCCAGUGGAGAGGUGGAAUUCGUAGAGAUUGGGAAGAACACCGGUGGCGAAGGCGGCCGCCUGGUCCGGCACUGACGCUGAGGCGCGAAAGCGUGGGGAGCAAACAGG
Molecule: ribosomal RNA, 252 nt
Filed under: uncultured bacterium
Lineage: Bacteria
Description: partial 16S ribosomal RNA
Rfam family: Bacterial small subunit ribosomal RNA
Source: RNAcentral